UUGGAGGGCAAGUCUGGUGCCAGCAGCCGCGGUAAUUCCAGCUCCAAUAGCGUAUAUUAAAGUUGUUGCAGUUAAAAAGCUCGUAGUUGAAUUUCGGAGUUUGUCGGUUGGUCGGGCUUCACUGUCCGCACUGACCUGAUGGGUUCCUACCUUCUGAAUAACCAGCAUGCUAUUAAGUUAGUGCGUUGGGGAAGCAGAGCUAUUACCUUGAAAAAAUUAGAGUGCUUAAAGCAGGCUAACGCCUGAAUACAUUAGCAUGGAAUAAUGAAAUAGGACGUUCGAUCCUAUUUUGUUGGUUUCUAGGAUUGACGUAAUGAUUAAUAGGGCUAGUUGGGGGCAUUAGUAUUCAAUUGUCAGAGGUGAAAUUCUUGGAUUUAUUGAAGACUAACUACUGCGAAAGCAUUUGCCAAGGAUGUUUUCAUUAAUCAAGGACGAAAGUUAGGGGAUCGAAGACGAUCAGAUACCGUCGUAGUCUUAACCAUAAACUAUGCCGACUAGGGAUCGGAUGAUGUUAAUUUUUUAAUGACUCAUUCGGCGCCUUACGGGAAAC
Molecule: ribosomal RNA, 550 nt
Filed under: uncultured Acaulospora
Lineage: Eukaryota; Fungi; Glomeromycota; Glomeromycetes; Diversisporales; Acaulosporaceae
Description: SSU rRNA
Rfam family: Eukaryotic small subunit ribosomal RNA
Source: RNAcentral